This 416-nucleotide ribosomal RNA is filed under the name uncultured bacterium. RNAcentral describes it as "partial 16S ribosomal RNA". It matches the Rfam family "Bacterial small subunit ribosomal RNA", at positions 361 to 774 of the family's 1533-position model. The record is from RNAcentral.
AUAUUGGACAAUGGGUGAAAGCCUGAUCCAGCCAUCCCGCGUGAAGGAUGACGGUCCNNNGGAUUNUCAACUUCUUUUGUACANGACNAAACCUACUCUCGUGAGAGUAGCUGAAGGUACUGUACGAAUAAGCACCGGCUAACUCCGUGCCAGCAGCCGCGGUAAUACGGAGGGUGCAAGCGUUAUCCGGAUUUAUUGGGUUUAAAGGGUCCGUAGGCGGACCCGUAAGUCAGUGGUGAAAUCUCAUAGCUUAACUAUGAAACUGCCAUUGAUACUGCGGGUCUUGAGUAAAUUUGAAGUGGCUGGAAUAAGUAGUGUAGCGGUGAAAUGCAUAGAUAUUACUUAGAACACCAAUUGCGAAGGCAGGUCACUAAGAUUUAACUGACGCUGAUGGACGAAAGCGUGGGGAGCAAACA